AGUGAACGCUGGCGGUAGGCCUAACACAUGCAAGUCGAACGGCAGCACAGUAAGAGCUUGCUCUUACGGGUGGCGAGUGGCGGACGGGUGAGGAAUACAUCGGAAUCUACUUUUUCUUGGGGGAUAACGUAGGGAAACUUACGCUAAUACCGCAUACGACCUACGGGUGAAAGCAGGGGAUCUUCGGACCUUGCGCGAUUGAAUGAGCCGAUGCCGGAUUAGCUAGUUGGCGGGGUAAAGGCCCACCAAGGCGACGAUCCGUAGCUGGUCUGAGAGGAUGAUCAGCCACACUGGAACUGAGACACGGUCCAGACUCCUACGGGAGGCAGCAGUGGGGAAUAUUGGACAAAGGGCGCAAGCCUGAUCCAGCCAUACCGCGUGGGUGAAGAAGGCCUUCGGGUUGUAAAGCCCUUUUGUUGGGAAAGAAAAGCAGCAGGUUAAUACCCCGCUGUUCUGACGGUACCCAAAGAAUAAGCACCGGCUAACUUCGUG
Molecule: ribosomal RNA, 492 nt
Filed under: uncultured bacterium
Lineage: Bacteria
Description: partial 16S ribosomal RNA
Rfam family: Bacterial small subunit ribosomal RNA
Source: RNAcentral